Molecule: non-coding RNA, 559 nt
Organism: Benincasa hispida (wax gourd)
Lineage: Eukaryota; Viridiplantae; Streptophyta; Magnoliopsida; Cucurbitales; Cucurbitaceae
Source: RefSeq, a predicted model, not a curated record
CACAAAUUUCCAAGAGUCGAAAGAAAAAAUACGCAAUGAAACCAGCCAAACGACUCUCCUAGUGUCACUCAUAGGAAACUAACGUUUCCAUAUGAAACAUUCUGCAAAAUUCCGUUUCUUUUGCUACCCAAUCAAUCAAGCCCCUUUCAAUUCAGAGAGAAGUAGAACCAAUAGAAUUCAAGAUUAAUGGAGUUUCGUCGUAAUUGGGUGUGAGUCUGUGUAAGAAUUCAGGUAAGAAGACAGAGUGUCGAGGACUGCGACGGAGAGGAGCCACCGCCAUUUUUUGUUGGGCUGGACAGAAUCUUCAAGCUUCGUUCGUCUCAAUCUCACUCGAGUUCUGCCUUCGCCAGACUUUGUAGGUAAGGACACAACGUAGGUGGCAGAACUGGACGUCGUUCAAAGGGCCAAACAUCAAACUCAUUAUUAUGGGCAUAUAUGCAUUUUGUAUCACUAUGCUAAUGUUUUAUGGAUCCUGGUGUUUUGUAAAAUAAACUUUUUAUACAGUUUUCUACCUAAUUAAUAAAAUUUUAGAUAUGUUCUUUUGAAAUUUUUACCAAAA